Molecule: long non-coding RNA, 752 nt
Organism: Sinocyclocheilus grahami
Lineage: Eukaryota; Metazoa; Chordata; Actinopteri; Cypriniformes; Cyprinidae
Source: Ensembl
AGAAAUCAAAAGACAAGAUUGUUGCCUCCUGAGUAAAUGUUACGCAGUAUUUCCUGAACUGUCCUCUGCCACUCCUCUCCACUUAGGGGGAACCUGGGUUGCAUGGUCUCAAGGGACUGCGAGGGGAACCUGGGCAUAAGGGUGACAGAGGACCCCUGGGUCUCCCCGGUAUGGAUGGACCACUUGGGACUCCUGGUCCAGCAGGUCCAAAGGGCGAUAGAGGUGAGAAGGGUGAUGUUGGUGAUCCUGGACCCAGAGGGCCAUAUGGGUUACCUGGAGCUGCUGGAACACCUGGAAUGGAUGUAAGUUGUCACUCAUUUACUGCUUGUGUGUUGACUCUUAUCAUUUAUUGUCUCCUGGGUUGCUUCCUGCAACUGUUCUGCCCUCUAGUAGCUGUCAGCAAUAUCUUUGAAGAUCUUUACCCCUGAACCAAUGAGUAUCCAGGCAUUUGUAAUUACUUGAAGUUGUAUUUUUGCAGGGGUUACCAGGCUUAAAGGGAGACAAGGGCAACAUGGGGGAAAGAGGAGAAAAGGUGAUUGUGACAUAGAUGUUGUGAAACAGGGAAUGAAACUUUCACUCUCUUUAUUGAUUAGAUCUGAUGUCAAUGGACAUUUACAAAGCAGUUUAGGCACAAAGCCUUUAUAUAGACCGAAUGUGGGCCAUGGAGUUGAAGAUCAGUGUGAAGAUCUUACAUUUAAUGGAUUCUCUUCUACAAUAGCAAUAGCAAAUAGCAAUAUUUAUAGUUGCAGGAA